RNAcentral lists this ribosomal RNA (393 nucleotides) under Triticum aestivum (bread wheat). Its description in RNAcentral is "partial small subunit ribosomal RNA". Lineage: Eukaryota; Viridiplantae; Streptophyta; Magnoliopsida; Poales; Poaceae. The record is from RNAcentral.
AUGUAUGAGAAUGUGGUUCAGUGGCGGUUCACGGGCUUUUAUGGUCACCCGAAAUGGAAUGAACGCCAUCUAUCUUGGGAUGACAUUCGUAAUCUACAUAGUAAGAGCAACCAUCCUUGGGUGGUUUUGGGGGAUUUUAAUGAAAUUUUAUACCCCUCGGAAAAAGAGGGUGGUGUAGCUAGACCACUUGGUAUGAUGAGAGAGUUCCGUGAAUGCCUAACGGAUUGUGGGCUGGAUGAUCUAGGCUAUUUUGGGGACAUGUUCACUUGGAGGAGAGGCGAAAUACGUGAGCGCCUUGAUCGUGCAGUCUGUAACUUAGCAUGGGCAAACAAAUUUCCACGAGCGGCAGUUAUCAAUGAAGAACAUGUUCAUUCCGACCAUCGCCCAAUCGUA